Molecule: long non-coding RNA, 470 nt
Filed under: Monodelphis domestica (gray short-tailed opossum)
Lineage: Eukaryota; Metazoa; Chordata; Mammalia; Didelphimorphia; Didelphidae
Description: lncRNA (ENSMODG00000048972.1)
Source: RNAcentral
UUUGGGACGACGUAAUUGUAAUUUCGGGAACGAACGUUGAGAAAGAGAAUGUUUUGGAAGAAGAAAUGUGUUUGCAAGGAGAUGCCAUGGAAUGCCGCGGAGCAGUGAUUGACAGGAGAGAACCUGCUUCGAUUCUUGGAAUCUCGGGGGAGGGGCGGAUCGAGGAAGUUCAGGGAGGUUGCUAGGAAACUCUGAGAAGAGACUUUACUCCAGCCUUCGGAAGGGAACCCUACGUGAGUCCUGCCAAGGAUUUCCCUAUCGAACCUGAGAUCUACAGAGUCCAGAAAUCUUUCCUGUCACGUGAAGUAGAACGAGACCAACAAGGGAGCCGAUUGGAACGGCUCGUUUACUUCAGGGGUUACUUCCCAGAGGUAAGACUACACAAGGGCAGGAGGUGGAGUCAAGAUGGCAACAUAGAAGCAGCAAAAGUUCAGACCUCUGAAAACCCUUCCUUACCAAUCACAAACUGA